AGAGUUUGAUCAUGGCUCAGAUUGAACGCUGGCGGCAUGCCUUACACAUGCAAGUUUGAACGGCAGCACGGGAGCAAUCCUGGUGGCGAGUGGCGAACGGGUGAGUAAUAUAUCGGAACGUGCCCAGUCGUGGGGGAUAACGCAGCGAAAGCUGUGCUAAUACCGCAUACGAUCUAUGGAUGAAAGCGGGGGACUCGCAAGAGCCUCGCGCGAUUGGAGCGGCCGAUAUCAGAUUAGCUAGUUGGUGAGGUAAAGGCUCACCAAGGCGACGAUCUGUAGCUGGUCUGAGAGGACGACCAGCCACACUGGAACUGAGACACGGUCCAGACUCCUACGGGAGGCAGCAGUGGGGAAUUUUGGACAAUGGGCGCAAGCCUGAUCCAGCAAUGCCGCGUGCAGGAUGAAGGCCUUCGGGUUGUAAACUGCUUUUGUACGGAACGAAACGGUCUACCCUAAUACGGUGGGCUAAUGACGGUACCGUAAGAAUAAGCACCGGCUAACUACGUGCCAGCAGCCGCGGUAAUACGUAGGGUGCGAGCGUUAAUCGGAAUUACUGGGCGUAAAGCGUGCGCAGGCGGUUAUAUAAGACAGAUGUGAAAUCCCCGGGCUCAACCUGGGACCUGCAUUUGUGACUGUAUAGCUAGAGUACGGUAGAGGGGGAUGGAAUUCCGCGUGUAGCAGUGAAAUGCGUAGAUAUGCGGAGGAACACCGAUGGCGAAGGCAAUCCCCUGGACCUGUACUGACGCUCAUGCACGAAAGCGUGGGGAGCAAACAGGAUUAGAUACCCUGGUAGUCCACGCCCUAAACGAUG
Molecule: ribosomal RNA, 811 nt
Filed under: uncultured bacterium
Lineage: Bacteria
Description: bacterial SSU rRNA
Rfam family: Bacterial small subunit ribosomal RNA
Source: RNAcentral